GACGAACGCUGGCGGCGUGCUUAACACAUGCAAGUCGAACGGAAAGGCCCUGCUUGCAGGGUGCUCGAGUGGCGAACGGGUGAGUAACACGUGGGUGAUCUGCCCCUUACUUUGGGAUAAGCAUGGGAAACUGGGUCUAAUACUGGAUAGGACCAUGCUGUAGGUGGUGUGGUGGAAAGAUUAGUUUCGGUAAGGGAUGAGCUCGCGGCCUAUCAGCUUGUUGGUGGGGUAAUGGCCUACCAAGGCGUCGACGGGUAGCCGGCCUGAGAGGGUGGACGGCCACAUUGGGACUGAGAUACGGCCCAGACUCCUACGGGAGGCAGCAGUGGGGAAUAUUGCACAAUGGGCGCAAGCCUGAUGCAGCGACGCCGCGUGGGGGAUGACGGCCUUCGGGUUGUAAACUCCUUUCAGCCAUGACGAAGCCCUUGUGGUGACGGUAGUGGUAGAAGAAGCACCGGCUAACUACGUG
This 469-nucleotide ribosomal RNA is filed under the name uncultured bacterium. RNAcentral's name for it is "partial 16S ribosomal RNA". It matches the Rfam family "Bacterial small subunit ribosomal RNA", at positions 28 to 507 of the family's 1533-position model. The record is from RNAcentral.